AAUUACUUUCCUUUUACGAACAUCUGAGCACAUUUCAUACCAUUUUACUGCAUAGUCUAUGUUCAAAUCUAGCUUUAUACUAAUUCAAAAAAGUUCAGUUAAAUUUUCUACGCAUAGGUGAAUUAUGAACUAAAGUUUCUGAGAAAUUAACAAAAUUUACAGAAGCUCGAAUGGACGAAAGUUUUAAUAAUUGGCGCAAUUCGCCGUCUACCAAGAACAGUCAAUCCGUUCUUAUUUCCGACAGUGAUGAAGAAGAAGAUAAUGUUAAAACUGCUGAGAAAGAGCAGAUCUAUGUGAUUGAAAGUGAUGAAAGUAGUCUAAGCGCGUCUAGAAAUGUAACACCAACAAAAAAGUCUAACUCUGUGUCAUCUAGAAAUUCAUCGUUAACAGAAGAAGCAGUGAAACAUAGAAUUAAAAAGUAUAUUUUAUAUGACUCAGAUAGUACAGGUGUUCCCAAUGAAAAUGAUUCUUCAUCAUCUACUCACAGUAGAACUGAUGACACAUAUGAGGAUAGUUCAGAUGAUGAGACCGAAUCAGAAGUGGAAAAGAAUAAAAAAAGAAAGAAGGGAGGACUCCAACGUAUUCAAGCUGGUGCAUCUAAUAUAUUUGAAAAUUCUACUAUGGACGAAGAAAACAAUUCUGAAACUGCAAUAUCUAUAGCAAAACAAGAGAUUGGUGUUGGUAAUAUAGAUCCACUGGUUGCACAAGAAAGAGCUCUUCUUGCUUGUAAAAAGGAGCAAUUGAGAAAUCAGUUGAGUAAGGCACAGUUGCUACUUGAUACUGGUAAUGUCGACUUACUGCCGGAUAAGGGAGAAAAGUUGCGCGAGAGCAUUGCGAUGCAAAAAAGGGAAUUAGAAUUAAUUACAGCUGAACUGGAACGUACACCUUUAACGGGAACUGUAUCGGUUAAAACCGACUCGGAAGAAAUAUUUCCUAUCAAUAAAUAUUUACCAAAUGCGACAGCAAAUUUGUCUUCAAGAGAAUUUGGGAAAAAGGCACAAGCAACAUUAGAAAAAGAGACAGCUUUAACAGCUGAUAGACUACAAGAUUUACAUGGAUCUAUUGUAGCUAGACCGUCCGAAAAUGAGAGAGCAGAAGAUCCACAGGGUUUGAAUGUAAAAUUAAUGCCGCAUCAACAACACGCGUUAGCGUGGUUAACGUGGAGGGAGCAACAAAAACCACCCGGAGGUGUUCUUGCUGAUGACAUGGGUUUGGGCAAGACAUUGACAAUGAUAUCUCUCAUCUUAGAUUGUAACGCUAAGAAGAAUGUUCAAAAGAUGGACGAAUUUGACGAUGACGAAUGGACGGAUAAUUAUAAGCCGUUACGACAUAAAGGAGGUACACUUGUGGUUUGCCCAGCGUCUUUGUUGUCACAAUGGGAAAAUGAAAUACAUCACAAAUGUAAAAGGCGUAUGCUUUCUGUGGUAGUUCAUCACGGUACUAAUCGGGAAAAUGUACCAAAAAGAUUAGCAAAACAUGACGUGGUUAUUACAACGUAUAAUAUACUAGCCCGUGAAUUUAAGACCAGAUCCACGGUAUACAAGAUUCAUUGGGAAAGAGUAAUACUAGACGAGGCACACAUAAUCCGAAAUCAUAAAAGUCAAGGAUCCCAAUCAGUUUGCGAGCUGGUGGCAAAUAAACGAUGGGCUCUUACUGGAACACCGAUUCAAAAUAAGGAGAUGGAUUUGUAUUCUAUUUUGAAAUUUCUCAAAUGUUCUCCUUUCGAUGAUAUACGCGUUUGGAAACGUUGGGUAGAUAAUAAAAAUGCCGCUGGUUGUCAGAGAUUAGCAACCGUGAUGAAAGCAUUGAUGUUACGUAGAACGAAACAAGAGCUUCAAGCUAGCGGUGCGUUAGACUGUUUACCAGAGAAAUUUAUUGAAGAAGUAUUUGUAGAACUCGAUUCCCAUGAGCAGUUGGUGUACGAAAAAGUUCUCGUCUUUUCUCGUACAUUGUUCGCUCAGUUUUUGGCUCAAAGAGCCGAGAAAGAGCAUAUGUUUGAUUUAGCAGGUGGAAAAUACGACAGGCCAACUUUUCUUUCAAAUCCAAAUAAGAAUACUCAGUUUACCAAAGCCCAAAAUAAGUUAUUGUCGUUACACGCUGACGUUAAAACGCACGAAAUCUUGGUUCUCUUACUGAGAUUACGUCAAAUUUGUGUUCAUCCUUCUCUUAUUCAUUCGAUGCUGGACCAAGAAGAUAUGCAAGAGAACGGAAUAACUGAUCCAGAAAAUUUAGACCCUGGCGUGUUGAUGCAACUAAAUAAUAUAACGUUAUGUGAUGACGAUGGGGAUGCGAAUGAUGAAAAAGAUACUGGCGUUGAUCACAGAGUAACCAAUAAUUUACUCACGUCUAAAAAUCCUGUUUUCAAGUCUAACCGUGUCAGUUCUAAGAUGAAAGCGGUGCUCGACACGGUAGCAGAAAUUUUACAGACAGACGACAAAAUGAUCAUUGUUUCUCAAUGGGCAACCGUCUUGAAUAUUGUUGCAUCUUGUUUGUCUUCGGUAAAAGGUGCAACUUUCAGUAUGUUCACUGGCAACGUGCCCAUCAAAGAAAGACAGGGUAUAAUGGAUUCGUUUAACGUUCCGAAUAGCAAUCCAAAAAUAUUGUUGUUAUCGCUCACUGCAGGAGGUGUUGGAUUAAAUCUAGUAGGAGGAAAUCACUUACUGUUAAUAGAUAUCCAUUGGAAUCCACAACUGGAAGUACAAGCUCAGGACAGGAUUUAUCGGUUUGGACAAAGAAAGGAUGUUCAUAUAUAUAAGUUUAUUUGUAAGAAUACGAUAGAAGAGCGUAUAAAGCAGUUGCAAGAAAGGAAAAUAGAAAUAGCUCAGAACGUUCUAACCGGUCACAAAAACACUGGCGCCUCGAAACUUACGUUCAACGAUCUCAAAUCUCUAUUCGCUCUCUAAAAGAAAAGGAUAGAGAAGAAAGGCGUGUCAUAUAAGUCUAGGAAACUCGGCAUUUUACCAUGCUUCUUCCUUAACGUAUCCGUUAUCGUUUACUUUCGUGACUUUUAUCCUUCUCAUUUUACUGUGCCAAAUGCCGUAACAGAAGUAUAUACCAAGACCUGCAAGAAAAGAAAGAGGACCAUUUUGUUUCUAAUACGAUCCAUUUCACGAGCAUUGAUUUUUUCUAUCUUACUCACCGAUUAUCAUCCAUAUCGAAAAUCGUAGCCACGUCAUUUUAUCCAACAUCAUCAUAAGAUAAAUAUUAAUAAGAAUACUGAGCGCAGGUAAAAAUGGCACCAGCGGAACCUAGAAAGGCACACAAUCAACUUUGUACGUCUUCAUGAAAUACAUGUCUUUAAGGAGAGACGAUACAUACCGAAAAUGCAAGCUUUUGGCCAGAAGUCGGUUGUAGAUAAAUGAAACAAAGAACAACCAGUAAAAGGAUUAUUAAAAGUGCUAACGGUACAACGAUCGUACUUUUACCGCUCACGAUUUCGUUGGUGUACAUCGAAGCCAUAAAACCGAUGCAGAUACAUAACAGGACUGUAAAGUAAAUAUCAUUUGAUAUACAAUGUCCGAUAGAAAAAGAAUGAUUCGAUAAUGAAACAGAAGAUAGUUUACCAUAACACCCGACUAAUAUCGUAACGAUUUGAGACGUUAAUUUCGUGGAGUGUUUCAAUUUGUUAGCAUUAAUUAACUGCUUCGCGAUGAACGUCAAGGUUCUCGGAUCAAGAUUUUCCUUCUUCUCGUACGCUUCGCUUUCCUCGUAUCUGAAACGAGUAAGAAAACGAUGUUCCAGGAUAUCGUUAAGCAAGCCGGUGACAUCGAUAUUUACCGCAAUAUAAGUACGCAAGCCGCAACGAUCGAAUAGGCGAGCAAGGUCCCGAUACUCAUCAUGUUUACCAGUUGAGUCAAUUCAAAUAUCGCAGCCAGUACACCUGCAAGUACAUGUACUUAUUCGUACGUUUACAGAAUCGAACAGGAUCUAUACGUUGAUACAAACCCGUAAGAAUUCCCGCGGAGAAGGUGCCCAUGAUCGGUGUGUGGAAUCGAGAGCUAACUUUUCCCAUCCAUCCGAAUAUCAAUCCAUCGGAAGCCAUCGCGUAAAUUACUCGUGGUAAAGGGAACAUUGCGCCUAAUAAGCUGAAACAGCGAUAUACGAAUAUACGAAAUUUUUAUUUCUCUUGGAUCUUGACAAUUGUUUUAUUACCUGGCGCAUAAACCGCAGAUGGCACCUAUCGUAACUACCCAUUUUGCCCAGCUCCAUCCGAUUCUAUCGAAGAGAUAUGGAAAGGGGGCAUCCGGAUUCUGUUCGUAGUAGGGUAAAACGGUGGUCAAGAUCGUCGAUACGCCAAAAUACGCGAGAAAAACGACGGUGAGCGAGGCGACGAUUGCAAUAGGGAUUGAUCUUUGUGGAUCUUUUGCUUCCUCGCCGGUAGUGGCGACGCAAUCGAAACCGAUGAAUCCGUAAAAGCACGUAGCUGCUCCCGUUAUGAUACCCGCGAUACCAUAUGGCGCGAAUCCUCCGCUUCCGUAAUCGCACUUUUCUUCCGUACACGUGGGCUUCGUUUUCCAAUUCGUUACGUCAGCUUCGUUGCACGUAAUCAUUUUCGAUUAGUUAUCUUUUCAAUUCAUCUCGUAUUCAACAAAAGUCUUACCUUGAAAGGAUCCGGCGAUUAUUACAAAAAGUACCACCGACAGAUUCACUACGGUGAAAAAGUUGUUGGCCAACGAAGACUCCUUAGCUCCGAACGCCAAUGCGGCUGAAACGAAACAAACGAUCGUUUCAAUUCGAUUGAUUAAAUUGAAAAUGAACAUUUUUCAACGAAGUGCAGCAAAAGCGAAUCGCCGAUACAUUCGUCUUCUUACCAGAGAAGAUCAAAGUUACUCCAAAGGCGAAAAAGUCUGGAUAAGAGGAGAAAUAGCUGAUGUCUAUAUGCGCCGCGGAUUGAAACGCGUUUCUCAUAGUAUUGUUGAAUAAAGCAUCCACGUAAAUGCUUAGUCCCCGCACCACGCUAGCCGAGCCAAUUACAUACUCUAGGAUUAGAGUCCAACCGAUGAGAAAGGCAGUAAACUCCCCCAUUGUUACGUAGCUGUAUACGUAAGCCGAUCCAGCACGUGGUACUCUUGCACCGAAUUCAGCGUAACAUAAGCCUAAAUAGAAGAAAAAUUGACGAAGAAGAGGCACAGAUACUUGAAUAUAUCACAGGAAUAUCGUACCUGCGAACAUAGAUGCGAUCGCAGCGAUCGCGAAAGAGACUAUCACAGCGGGACCAGCCGUGUGUUUCGAAACCGAUCCCGCCAGAACGUAGAUACCGACGCCCAGCGUCGAGCCGAUUCCAAGGGCCGUCAGGUCCAGGGUGGAUAAACAUCUGGCGAGUUUCGUGUCCUGAGACGGUGUCACGUCUUUUUUACGACUGAACGCCUUGCACAGACUUUGAACUUUCCAACUUUUCAUGUUGUACAACUGAAAGAAACCGAUUCUUUAUCGAACACCGAGAAACGUUUGGCGGAAACCACUAAUCGUGAGAGAACAAAAUAGUUAACUGGAAAACACCGCCGCAUCGUGGUAUCUUUAUCGUUUGCUCACCAUGCGUUGCACGCUUAAAGAAGAAUCCAUUUUCCCCGAAGCUGUCAACAAGGAGUACUAUGAACGAACGAGACUACACUUGUGAACAUUCGGUUCCCGACUAAAGGAGCGGUAAUUAAAAUCUCUUUAAAUCAAGCUCGAAGAUUGCUUAUGUCGCGAGCUAGCUAAACCGUUCAAUUGGUCGGACUCGUUUCGUCGUCGCAAAUUGAUUAGAACCGUUCAGUCUCGUUUAUAUCGGUCAUCUGCUUAUAAUAAGUUGAUCUUAACUAUCAACUUUCGAUCGUUUCAUCGAAAUUCCGAUAAUUUAGUAGCCAAUAAGUGUUCAGAUAGCGUUUCCUUGCCUUUCUUGAGAUUCGAAUCAAACGCGACCAAUUACAUCUCUAUACGAACGUGUUUUCACUUUCUUAUCAUUCUCUUUCAAACAUUCUUAUCCUCUCCGAACGGUAUCGAUCAUUCCGUUUCGUUGCGAUCUCAUUCGAUACGAACCCUGUUCGUGUGCGCGUAACUUUAUGCAUCGGUUACGAAGAAAAUCGUUUCGAUCAGGGUGACGUCAACUCUUUAUACAUAUUUGUUCAAUCUAUCAAUCGUACGUUAGUAAAUUUACUACAUGUUUGUAGAUAUGUAUUUAUUCUCCUUUGGCGUAUCAAUUAAACGCGCAUACACACCAAGUAUCCUAAACCAUGUACAUAGAGAGGGUCACAAAAUUAUUCGCUCGCCGUUUAAAACAGAAUACUUCAUUUUAAAUUGGACCAAAUGACUUGAAGCUUUUUGAGAAGCUAUAAAAAUUAAUUUACUAACGUGACUAGUUGUUCUUAGGUGAAAAGUCGCGAUUUUCGGAAAUUUCAAUUGCUUGUAACUUCUAAGAGCAUUGACCGGUAUCGAUGAAAUUACGAAAGAUAUAUUUUAAUUACCCUUCACUACUUUUUUUCACGAUUUCGACAAACUGUAAUUUUUUAAAACAGCAAAAGAACAUACCUUAGUAAAUUCUCAAAAAGCCUCAGGUCAUUUGGUCCAAUUUUACAUGAGGUAUUCUGUUUUAAACGGUGAGCGAAUAAUUUUGUGACCCACUGUACAUAGGAAAAUAAAAUACUCGUAAUUUCUUGUUCGAACAUAAAAGGCGCGCGAAAAAAACCUACAUCCUCGUUGCACGUACUAUUUUAGCCGAUAUCGUAUUGUGCCAAUUGCAACAGAAAACAUUGUUCGAUACUUACUUGAUUAAAUGGAUUACGUUGCGCGGAUUUUUCUUCGUUCAAAAUGGAUUUCAAGCGUCACCAUCGAGUACAAUGGGAAAUUGUCGCCUAACAACUUCAUUCUUCGUUCCGCUUAUCUAUCUAGCUAUCAGAUAUCUUAAAGUUGCAAGGCGAUACAUAAUCCCCCAUGGAAGACGAUACGUUACCAUCUGGCUUUUAAAAAUCGUUAUCUUUCCUCGUAACCAUCGGUUAAUAAUAUAUUAUUAGUUAUUAGACGGUGGACGCUGUCAUAUUCGUUGUUGCUAAACGCAGUCAACGAAUACGAUUAAGAUCCAAGAGUUUUGCAAAUUAAAAACAGUUUAUUAGGUGGCAAAUAAAAAAGUAUAUAUUCUUUUGUAAAAAGCUAUUUACAUGUAAUUAUGUAUAUAUGUUACACAUAGUAUUAACAAGUAAAAAAUAUUCGUAGUACAUUCGUGGACUAAAAGUUUAAAAUGUAUAAAAAUUUCAUAUUGGACGGAUUAUGGAAUAUCAGGUUCAUCUCCUCUUUUCUUCUACGUUCUCUUUACCGCUAUGCCAUACAAUUCAUACUGGUGAUACAUGUAUGGUGUAUGCCGUAAGCGAUGCUUCCGAAUACGUUAUUAACGUAUGGGGUGUCAUAGUUUCAUCAGUCUCUAAUUAAUAUCUGCUAUUUUACGCUACUGUUUGUUGAUCAUACUCCAUAAAUUGUAUAGAAAUAUCGAAACGAUGGUUACGACCUGCCAAUGCGGACGUACUUCCUCUGCAGCAGACUGAAACAAAAUGAACAUUGUAUAUUUGCAUACAGUUUAAGCUACAAAAUCAAAGCUUUAACUCACUAUAGCAUAAUAAUUGCACUUGUCCCCUUGACAGCAAUCAGAACACUGCCAAUCUUGGUACCAUAUAUAUGUGCAAUCAUCCAUGUUAGACUGUUUUGUUCUUUCACACUCCUUUUUAGUGGAACACAUCUUGGAGACGUAAAAUUGUUUCUUUGCACCUGGUGACCAAUACGGGGUGCCUGCAAGAACGAACAAUAAUAUGAACAACUGAAUUGAACACUCAUUUUUCCACUCGUUGCUCUUACUAACGAUAUAAACAUAACCUCAAUUAUUACACUGGGUAAUCGUACAACUUAUUUCAACAAAGAGAAACUUACUUCCCCAUCUAAUCAUUGUUAAACAAGCAUCUUGGCCUUGCUCGCAGGUUUUUGUACUUUUCAGACACUUUUCUCUGUUACCUUCUUGAUUGGUACAAACGUAGCAUUCCAGGGCGUGGUCUAAAAACAUUGAUAAAUAAGUAACCGUACACGACAAAACAAUAUUUAUUCAACUUACUAAGCGUUAGACAGCAUGUCAUCAGGAUCGUCCAAUAAAUUAUUAAAGAGUUCAUGUUGGAAAAAUUUAUUAGCAACGAUAAUAAUACAACGGGGCGCGCGCUACGCCACACAGUGAUGCAAAAUCGAAUGGAAUGAAUCAUAUGGUUCGUAUCGUUGGCACCACUGACGAUCUAAUCGAGUAUAAAAUUCAAAAGAUCUCGAAUCGAUUACAUUGGAAGAACGAGAGCAGAAUUGAAAUAUUAAUGAAAAAAGUGGAUAUUUAUUCCGCUUGUUUCAGUGAUUUUGACACUUUCAUCUUAUGACGUGGACGUUGCAGAUGUUAUUACAUAAUUGGCGUACACUUAACAGUCACGACGAAUCGAACUUGGAAAUGUGUUUCUAAUUUAUUGAAUUCAUUAUAAGCAGUUAUGAAAAUCAACUCGUUAUCAAUUAAUGUGCAUAUGGAACAUGAACGAACGAGCUUAAAAAUAACCGACAGCAGUAUCGUCGACUGACGUCUUCAAAUUACACAAGCUGCUCAUUUCCCUAACAAUCGACUAUCUGGGUUUGAGUUAAGGAGACUUGGAAUUUGAAGGUGAAAAACGAAGAGUAAAGGAAAGGGAAAGGACGAAGAGUUGGAGUAUGCGGACAAUGAUGCGUCGAAAGAUAAAAUUUCAAGGGUUAAUGAAGAACAAAAGAGGUCGCAUAAACAAAGUAAGCAGGUGAGAAAGGAAGAAAGGAGAAAAGAAAGAAAAGAUGCGAAGGAAAGGUUAGUUGGUUGAUGCAUUCGUUCUCCCCUCUCCGUAUAAUCUGAACUCUGUCGAGGUUUUGGUCAGGUCGGCGCGUGUUCGCGAUUCUCGCGGUCGUCGAAUGUCGAUAUUCGAGUGCGCGGUGCAGGCUGAGCAGUGGCAGUGUCGAGCGUACUGCGCCGAGAAUCUAAAAUUAUCAGCCGAUUCGAGAGAGGGGUAAAGCGAAUAGGUAUGCAGAAAGAGAAAAAGGGAGGGGUAGCAGGGUUGGGGAAAUGUUGCAAGAAAGAAUAGUGGUUGAAAAAAAAAAUAGAUAAAUAAAAAUAAAACAGUGGAAAAAAGAUGAAAGAUGUUUCGCCUAAGAGAAAUAAAAAAAAAGGCAGUACAAAGAUCCUAAAGUUGGACAGGACGGUACGAUAGUUGGAUAAGAGGGUAA
Non-coding RNA from Osmia lignaria (orchard mason bee), 9234 nucleotides. The record is from RefSeq and is a predicted model, not a curated record. Lineage: Eukaryota; Metazoa; Arthropoda; Insecta; Hymenoptera; Megachilidae.